CACGUAGGGCGCGAGCGUUGUCCGGAAUUAUUGGGCGUAAAGAGCUCGUAGGCGGCCUGUUGCGUCCGCUGUGAAAGCCCCGGGGCUUAACCCCGGGUCGCAGUGGAUACGGGCAGGCUAGAGGUAGGUAGGGGAGAAUGGAAUUCCCGGUGUAGCGGUGAAAUGCGCAGAUAUCGGGAGGAACACCGGUGGCGAAGGCGGUUCUCUGGGCCUUACCUGACGCUGAGGAGCGAAAGCGUGGGGAGCGAACAGG
This 253-nucleotide ribosomal RNA is filed under the name uncultured bacterium. RNAcentral describes it as "partial 16S ribosomal RNA". It matches the Rfam family "Bacterial small subunit ribosomal RNA", at positions 524 to 776 of the family's 1533-position model. The record is from RNAcentral.